Molecule: ribosomal RNA, 393 nt
Filed under: uncultured bacterium
Lineage: Bacteria
Description: bacterial SSU rRNA
Rfam family: Bacterial small subunit ribosomal RNA
Source: RNAcentral
GACGAACGCUGGCGGCGUGCCUAACACAUGCAAGUGGAGCGACGAACCAGGCUUCGGCCUGGGGCAGAGCCGCGAACGGGUGAGUAACACGUGGGUAACCUGCCCUGAUGAUUGGGACAACCCGAGGAAACUCGGGCUAAUACCAAAUGUGCCCUCCGACCAUAAGGUCGCUGGGGAAAGGAAGCUUCGGCCUCCGCAUCGGGAUGGGCCCGCGGCCCAUUAGCUUGUUGGUGAGGUAANGGCUCACCAAGGCAACGAUGGGUAGCUGGUCUGAGAGGACGAUCAGCCACACUGGGACUGAGACACGGCCCAGACUCCUACGGGAGGCAGCAGUGGGGAAUCUUGCGCAAUGCGCGAAAGCGUGACGCAGCAACGCCGCGUGGGGGAAGAAGG